RNAcentral lists this ribosomal RNA (484 nucleotides) under uncultured bacterium. RNAcentral describes it as "partial 16S ribosomal RNA". It matches the Rfam family "Bacterial small subunit ribosomal RNA", at positions 30 to 507 of the family's 1533-position model. The record is from RNAcentral.
AUUGAACGCUGGCGGCAGGCCUAACACAUGCAAGUCGAGCGGAUGAAGGGAGCUUGCUCCUGGAUUCAGCGGCGGACGGGGGAGUAAUGCCUAGGAAUCUGCCUGGUAGUGGGGGAUAACGUCCGGAAACGGGCGCUAAUACCGCAUACGUCCUGAGGGAGCAAGUGGGGGAUCUUCGGACCUUACGCUAUCAGAUGAGCCUAGGUCGGAUUAGCUAGUUGGUGGGGUAAAGGCCUACCAAGGCGACGAUCCGUAACUGGUCUGAGAGGAUGAUCAGUCACACUGGAACUGAGACACGGUCCAGACUACUACGGGAGGCAGCAGAGGGGAAUGUUGGACAAUGGGCGAAAGCCUGAUCCAGCCAUGCCGCGUGUGUGAAGAAGGUCUUCGGAUUGUAAAGCACUUUAAGUUGGGAGGAAGGGCAGUAAGUUAAUACCUUGCUGUUUUGACGGUACCAACAGAAUAAGCACCGGCUAACUUCGUG